UAAGUUGGGAUGACAAGUUGAACUUUGUCGCGUAGAGUAAACCCUAACGUCCUCAGAAGUAUCCAGCUGCAAAUUUUGUCGCUUAGAAAUCACAGUCAACGUAUUGGAGUUAAGCAAAAGCUUAUUCUUAUCAGACUGGAAAGAUUUUGGGAUGGAUCCAGAGGCUGCAAAGACCGCACGAGAAUCUCUGGAUUUGGCAUUUCACAUGUCAAACAUUCUGGACACUGGGCUCGAUCGACACAUGCUUUCAGUACUCAUUGCCCUGUGUGACUUGGGCUUAAAUCCUGAGGCUUUGGCUGCUGUCGUGAAAGAACUCGGAAGAGAAGACUCUUGCUCUCCACCAACCCCUACUGCUCCUUCAUCUGCCCCUUAAACAGGUUUCUGGCAUUAACCAACAUCAGCCUUUUCUCUUCUUUCCAUGUCCAUAGUUGUGUAUGCUGAGAAUCUGUGAUUGGUAUCUUGGUGUUUUGAAGAUGUAAUUGGAAUUGUACUGUAGAUUUAUCAUUAUAAUUACAGUUAAAUUGUUGUGUUUUUAAUGUACUGGAAUUGAAAAUCAAUGCAAGUGUGUAGAAACAUCAUCUUCAC
RNAcentral lists this unclassified non-coding RNA (585 nucleotides) under Hevea brasiliensis (rubber tree). Lineage: Eukaryota; Viridiplantae; Streptophyta; Magnoliopsida; Malpighiales; Euphorbiaceae. The record is from RNAcentral.